Non-coding RNA from Dermacentor albipictus, 82 nucleotides. The record is from the annotation of a RefSeq genome assembly. NCBI's taxonomy places the organism in Eukaryota, Metazoa, Arthropoda, Arachnida, Ixodida, Ixodidae.
GGUAGCGUGGCCGAGUGGUCUAAGGCACUGGUUUCAGGCACCAGUCUCUUCGGAGACACGGGUUCGACCCCCGCCGCUACCA